This 73-nucleotide transfer RNA is filed under the name Candidatus Bacteroides intestinipullorum. RNAcentral's name for it is "tRNA-OTHER". It matches the Rfam family "tRNA". From Rfam's summary of the family: Transfer RNA (tRNA) molecules are approximately 80 nucleotides in length. Lineage: Bacteria; Pseudomonadati; Bacteroidota; Bacteroidia; Bacteroidales; Bacteroidaceae. The record is from RNAcentral.
AGCCUGUUCGUCCAUCCGGUCAGGACGCCGUAGCACUUCGGAAAGGCGGGUUCGAUUCCCGCACAGGCUUCCA